This 492-nucleotide ribosomal RNA is filed under the name uncultured bacterium. RNAcentral describes it as "partial 16S ribosomal RNA". It matches the Rfam family "Bacterial small subunit ribosomal RNA", at positions 29 to 507 of the family's 1533-position model. The record is from RNAcentral.
AGUGAACGCUGGCGGUAGGCCUAACACAUGCAAGUCGAACGGCAGCACAGUAAGAGCUUGCUCUUACGGGUGGCGAGUGGCGGACGGGUGAGGAAUACAUCGGAAUCUACUUUUUCGUGGGGGAUAACGUAGGGAAACUUACGCUAAUACCGCAUACGACCUACGGGUGAAAGCAGGGAAUCUUCGGACCUUGCGCGAUUGAAUGAGCCGAUGUCGGAUUAGCUAGUUGGCGGGGUAAAGGCCCACCAAGGCGACGAUCCGUAGCUGGUCUGAGAGGAUGAUCAGCCACACUGGAACUGAGACACGGUCCAGACUCCUACGGGAGGCAGCAGUGGGGAAUAUUGGACAAUGGGCGCAAGCCUGAUCCAGCCAUACCGCGUGGGUGAAGAAGGCCUUCGGGUUGUAAAGCCCUUUUGUUGGGAAAGAAAAGCAGCAGGUUAAUACCCCGCUGUUCUGACGGUACCCAAAGAAGAAGCACCGGCUAACUUCGUG